This 836-nucleotide ribosomal RNA is filed under the name uncultured bacterium. RNAcentral describes it as "bacterial SSU rRNA". It matches the Rfam family "Bacterial small subunit ribosomal RNA", at positions 56 to 905 of the family's 1533-position model. The record is from RNAcentral.
UGCAAGUCGAACGAGCGAGAGAGAGCUUGCUUUCUCGAGCGAGUGGCGAACGGGUGAGUAACGCGUGAGGAACCUGCCUCAAAGAGGGGGACAACAGUUGGAAACGACUGCUAAUACCGCAUAAGCCCACGGCUCGGCAUCGAGCAGAGGGAAAAGGAGCAAUCCGCUUUGAGAUGGCCUCGCGUCCGAUUAGCUAGUUGGUGAGGUAAUGGCCCACCAAGGCGACGAUCGGUAGCCGGACUGAGAGGUUGAACGGCCACAUUGGGACUGAGACACGGCCCAGACUCCUACGGGAGGCAGCAGUGGGGAAUAUUGCACAAUGGGGGAAACCCUGAUGCAGCGACGCCGCGUGGAGGAAGAAGGUCUUCGGAUUGUAAACUCCUGUUGUUGAGGAAGAUAAUGACGGUACUCAACAAGGAAGUGACGGCUAACUACGUGCCAGCAGCCGCGGUAAAACGUAGGUCACAAGCGUUGUCCGGAAUUACUGGGUGUAAAGGGAGCGCAGGCGGGAAGACAAGUUGGAAGUGAAAUCUAUGGGCUCAACCCAUAAACUGCUUUCAAAACUGUUUUUCUUGAGUAGUGCAGAGGUAGGCGGAAUUCCCGGUGUAGCGGUGGAAUGCGUAGAUAUCGGGAGGAGCACCAGUGGCGAAGGCGGCCUACUGGGCACCAACUGACGCUGAGGCUCGAAAGUGUGGGUAGCAAACAGGAUUAGAUACCCUGGUAGUCCACACCGUAAACGAUGAUUACUAGGUGUUGGAGGAUUGACCCCUUCAGUGCCGCAGUUAACACAAUAAGUAAUCCACCUGGGGAGUACGACCGCAAGGUUGAAACUCAAA